GGCCUGAUGGUCUAGUGGUAAGAUACCCGCUUUGGGCUGAGUUAAAUCUCAAAUUCAUAUGCGGGUGAUCCAGGGUUCAAUCCCCUGUCAGGCCC
Molecule: transfer RNA, 95 nt
Organism: Schizopora paradoxa
Lineage: Eukaryota; Fungi; Basidiomycota; Agaricomycetes; Hymenochaetales; Schizoporaceae
Rfam family: tRNA
About the family: Transfer RNA (tRNA) molecules are approximately 80 nucleotides in length. Their secondary structure includes four short double-helical elements and three loops (D, anti-codon, and T loops).
Source: Rfam